Molecule: ribosomal RNA, 513 nt
Filed under: uncultured bacterium
Lineage: Bacteria
Description: partial 16S ribosomal RNA
Rfam family: Bacterial small subunit ribosomal RNA
Source: RNAcentral
AACGAACGCUGGCGGCAUGCUUAACACAUGCAAGUCGAACGUGAAAGUGGGCUUCGGCCCGCGAGUAAAGUGGCGCACGGGUGAGUAACACGUGGAUAAUCUACCCGAUGAUCUGGAAUAACACUUCGAAAGGGGUGCUAAUACCGGAUAAGCUCACGACGUCUUCGGACGAUGUGGGAAAAGGGGGCUUCGGCUCCUGUCAUCGGAUGAGUCCGCGGCCCAUUAGCGAGUUGGUAGGGUAAUGGCCUACCAAGGCGACGAUGGGUAGCUGGUCUGAGGGGAUGAUCAGCCACAGUGGAACUGAGGCACGGUCCAGACUCCUACGGGAGGCGGCAGUGGGGAAUUUUGCGCAAGGGGCGAAAGCCUGACGCAGCAAGGCCGCGUGAGUGUUGAAGGCCUUCGGGUCGUAAAGCACUGUCAGAGGGGAAGAAACUCGUGCCGGUUAAUACCCGGCGGGCCUGACGGUACCCUCAAAGGAAGCACCGGCUAACUCCGUGCCAGCAGCCGCCGUAA